Molecule: ribosomal RNA, 101 nt
Organism: Sinocyclocheilus anshuiensis
Lineage: Eukaryota; Metazoa; Chordata; Actinopteri; Cypriniformes; Cyprinidae
Source: Ensembl
CUCAGCAGCUCUCAUCUGGUUUCCCACUGAAGCUAAGCAGGGUUGUGCCUGGUUAGUACUUGGAUGGGAGACCUCCUGGGAAAAGUAGGUCGCUGCUGAAA